CCAUCAGAUGUGCCCAGAUGGGAUUAGCUAGUAGGUGGGGUAAUGGCUCACCUAGGCGACGAUCCCUAGCUGGUCUGAGAGGAUGACCAGCCACACUGGAACUGAGACACGGUCCAGACUCCUACGGGAGGCAGCAGUGGGGAAUAUUGCACAAUGGGCGCAAGCCUGAUGCAGCCAUGCCGCGUGUGUGAAGAAGGCCUUCGGGUUGUAAAGCACUUUCAGCGAGGAGGAAGGUGGUGAACUUAAUACGUUCAUCAAUUGACGUUACUCGCAGAAGAAGCACCGGCUAACUCCGUGCCAGCAGCCGCGGUAAUACGGAGGGUGCAAGCGUUAAUCGGAAUUACUGGGCGUAAAGCGCACGCAGGCGGUUUGUUAAGUCAGAUGUGAAAUCCCCGGGCUCAACCUGGGAACUGCAUUUGAAACUGGCAAGCUAGAGUCUCGUAGAGGGGGGUAGAAUUCCUAGGUGUAGCGNGUGAAAUGCGUAGAGAUCUGGAGGAAUACCGGUGGCGAAGGCGGCCCCCUGGACGAAGACUGACGCUCAGGUGCGAAAGCGUGGGG
This 558-nucleotide ribosomal RNA is filed under the name uncultured Enterobacterales bacterium. Its description in RNAcentral is "bacterial SSU rRNA". It matches the Rfam family "Bacterial small subunit ribosomal RNA", at positions 218 to 766 of the family's 1533-position model. The record is from RNAcentral. Lineage: Bacteria; Pseudomonadati; Pseudomonadota; Gammaproteobacteria; Enterobacterales.